This 452-nucleotide ribosomal RNA is filed under the name uncultured bacterium. RNAcentral describes it as "bacterial SSU rRNA". It matches the Rfam family "Bacterial small subunit ribosomal RNA", at positions 29 to 523 of the family's 1533-position model. The record is from RNAcentral.
AACGAACGCUGGCGGCAGGCCUAACACAUGCAAGUCGAACGAACCCUUCGGGGUUAGUGGCGCACGGGUGAGUAACGCGUGGGAACAUGCCCUUCAGUACGGGAUAACGUUGGGAAACUGACGCUAAUACCGUAAAAUAUCUCCGGAUCAAAGAUUUAUCGCUGAGGGAUUGGCCCGCGUCUGAUUAGCUUGUUGGUGAGGUAAGAGCUCACCAAGGCUACGAUCAGUAGCUGGUCUGAGAGGAUGACCAGCCACACUGGGACUGAGACACGGCCCAGACUCCUACGGGAGGCAGCAGUGAGGAAUAUUGGACAAUGGGCGAAAGCCUGAUCCAGCCAUGCCGCGUGUGUGAUGAAGGCCUUAGGGUUGUAAAGCACUUUCGACGGGGAGUGAUAAUGACGUACCCGUACGAAGAAGCCACGGCGUAAAUUACGUGCCAGCAGCCGCGGUAA